RNAcentral lists this ribosomal RNA (439 nucleotides) under uncultured bacterium. Its description in RNAcentral is "partial 16S ribosomal RNA". It matches the Rfam family "Bacterial small subunit ribosomal RNA", at positions 338 to 795 of the family's 1533-position model. The record is from RNAcentral.
CCUACGGGAGACAGCAGUGGGGAAUAUUGCACAAUGGGGGAAACCCUGAUGCAGCGACGCCGCGUGAGUGAAGAAGUAAUUCGUUAUGUAAAGCUCUAUCAGCAGGGAAGAAAAUGACGUUACCUGAGUAAGAAGCCCCGGCACACUACGUCCCGGCAGCCGCGGUAUAACGUAGGGGGCAACGGUUAUCCGGAUUUACUGGGUGUAAGGGGAGCGUAGACGGCAGUGCAGGUCUGGAGUGAAGGGCGGGGGCUCAACCCCGGACUGCACUGGAAACUGGACGGCUGGAGUGCAGGAGAGGUAAGUGGAAUUCCUAGUGUAGCGGUGAAAUGCGUAGAUAUUAGGAGGAACACCAGUGGCGAAGGCGGCUUACUGGACUGGAACUGACGUUGAGGCUCGAAAGCGUGGGGAGCAAACAGGAUUAGAUACCCCUGUAGUC